Molecule: ribosomal RNA, 483 nt
Filed under: uncultured bacterium
Lineage: Bacteria
Description: partial 16S ribosomal RNA
Rfam family: Bacterial small subunit ribosomal RNA
Source: RNAcentral
AUUGAACGCUGGCGGCAGGCCUAACACAUGCAAGUCGAGCGGAUGAAUGGAGCUUGCUCCUGGAUUCAGCGGCGGACGGGUGAGUAAUGCCUAGGAAUCUGCCUGGUAGUGGGGGAUAACGUCCGGAAACGGGCGCUAAUACCGCAGACGUCCUGAGGGCGAAAGUGGGGAUCUUCGGACCUCACGCUAUCAGAUGAGCCUAGGUCGGCUUAGCUAGUUGGUGGGGUAAAGGCCUACCAAGGCGACGAUCCGUAACUGUUCUGAGAGGAUGAUCAGUAACACGGGAACGAAGACACGGUCCAGAAUUCUGAGGGAGGCACGAGUGGGGAACAUUCGACAAGGGGCGAAAGCGUGAUCCAGGCAUGCCGCGAGAGUGAAGAAGGUCUUCGGAUUGUAAAGCACGUUAAGUUGGGAGGAAUGGAAGUAUGUUAAUACCUUCCUGUUUGGACGUUCCCAAAAGAAUAAGCCCCGGCUAACUCCGUG